GAUCCUGGCUCAGAAUCAACGCUGGCGGCGUGCCUAACACAUGCAAGUCGAACGCGAAAGGGGCUUCGGCCCUGAGUAGAGUGGCGAACGGGUGAGUGACACGUGGGUGAUCUACCUCUGAGUGGGGGAUAACCUUCCGAAAGGAGGGCUAAUACCGCAUGACGUUCUGGGUUUGAAGACCCGGAAACCAAAGCUGGGGACCGCAAGGCCUGGCGCUUGGAGAGGAGCCCGCGCCUGAUUAGCUAGUUGGCGGGGUAAUGGCCCACCAAGGCAACGAUCAGUAGCCGGCCUGAGAGGGCGGACGGCCACACUGGGACUGAGACACGGCCCAGACUCCUACGGGAGGCAGCAG
Molecule: ribosomal RNA, 352 nt
Filed under: Acidobacteria bacterium enrichment culture clone C26_08_A43
Lineage: Bacteria; Pseudomonadati; Acidobacteriota
Description: bacterial SSU rRNA
Rfam family: Bacterial small subunit ribosomal RNA
Source: RNAcentral